RNAcentral lists this ribosomal RNA (164 nucleotides) under uncultured bacterium. RNAcentral describes it as "partial 16S ribosomal RNA". It matches the Rfam family "Bacterial small subunit ribosomal RNA", at positions 346 to 524 of the family's 1533-position model. The record is from RNAcentral.
AGGCAGCAGUGGGGAAUAUUGCACAAUGGGCGAAAGCUGAUGCAGCGACGCCGCGUGGGGGAUGACGGCCUUCGGGUUGUAAACCCUUUCAGUAGGGAAGAAGCGAAAGUGACGGUACCUGCAGAAGAAGCGCCGGCUAACUACGUGCCAGCAGCCGCGGUAAU